Molecule: non-coding RNA, 46 nt
Organism: Schistosoma haematobium
Lineage: Eukaryota; Metazoa; Platyhelminthes; Trematoda; Strigeidida; Schistosomatidae
Source: Rfam
GCACUGCUGAGGAGUCCGACAAUAGGGCGAAACGUUCGUCCAGUGC